GUGAAUGAAAACGGAAGGAAACUAAACAGGCUUCCUAGAAUAGCACAGAACAUUACCAGGUUGACUCAAAAUACAAAGUAAUUCCCUGCACUGGAUGCUGUCGUGUCGUUCGUCCGGGAAUAAUCGUUUUAUAUACCGGAGCAACUAAACUGUACACGGAUAUACAUCUGGUCAGCAUUCGCCUCAGACAGCAUCUACAGUUUCAUAGCAUGUCUUCCUGGUCCAGUGCGUAAACUGUGUUCCAAAUAUUAUGCUGCUGCUUUUUUUUCUUUCAUGUCUAACGGCAGAAAUUACUAUGCAGUCACAUGUCAGUAGGAUUUAAACAGAUUCAGCUGAGUUUGUUUUUUUGUUCUCUUUUAAAUUGGACAUGGUUGCUAAUUGGUUUGCCAGGUGUUUGUUAUUAAAUAACCUCUAGUUAAAUUAAACAAGUUGCAUUUCUAAUGCAAAAUGGGAGUGUGAUUUCUCAGAAGAUAAAGUGUGGCAGAAGUGCAGUGUCUGGCAUGAAAAACAUGGAUAUAAUUUUGGAAAAAUGAGGAGGGUUCAUAAAAAUCUUGGGGAAAGUGUGAGUCAAAUAGAGAAAUGGUGGUAAGGUGGGUGUAUUGUGUUGUUUUGUUGCUUUGUGUCACCUUACUGUGUGGAGUUAAACAUGUGCUCCUUGUGACUGUCCAGAAGACAUGCAUGGUAGGUGCCUGUUCUGUAUUCGCCACAAACAUGGAUGUAUACUAAAGUGCUUAAGGGCUUGGAGUAAAUGAACCAUAUUUUUAAGGAAGACUUCUAAUAAACAAAAUAAAAAUACUAAAAAAACGUUUCCAACAGACCAGAUAUCUGUAAUUUUAAAACUGUUUGAUCCACCAGUGAAAGCCUUGCUACUAUGGUCCAGGUGGAUGGAGUUCUAGAUGAUUGGUAAACACCAAGCAGAAGGAAGAGGGAUCUGAACUGGAAUACUGUGUAGCAAGAUGAUUAGUCCCACUUCAUUGUGUCAAAUUGUCCUCAUAGGUGUAUGGUGAUCCCAACUUGGCAAUGGCCUAACAUGCUAUGGAAAGGUUUUUCUUUUCUAGGCUCCCUGGUUGCUCAAAAGGAAAACCAUUAUAGCCAUUAUAACCUUCUGACCUUAACUCUAUUAAGGACCUGGGCUGGCAUCUUCAGAUCAAAUGUACGUGGAAAGUGUUUGUAUAAUCUGCAUUUAAGGCUCCACAUGCACUUGGUAGUCUGGGGCUGUAAACAUCCCCGACUGGAAGCUGUCUGCACCACAGAGCUUUCAGUCUGAUGUUUGCGGCUGCUGGCUACCCCCUACUGCCGAGUUAACCUUUUUAUUCAGUAUUCAUUGAAAUCCAUACCUGAUUUAGACACUGUGCUCCUUUAAAGUGUAGCUUUGUGUUCAGUUGUUCAGACUCAGUUCAUGUAAACAUCCUACACUCAGCUGUUAUUGAUUGCCACAGAGGCUGAGAGGAGGUUGUUUACUUGAACUGGUUGGGAAUGAUACUUGGACUUAAGAUGGAGUGCCUUCAUUCACAUUGUCUGUUACACAUCAUUCAUGAGCUAUCCUGGAAUCGACGGCUCAAGGGAAAGAAAUUUGAAGUCUUAUUUGUCAAUUGUUCUGAUUUUUAACAAAUAAAGUUACUUGAAUACA
Long non-coding RNA from Pelmatolapia mariae (spotted tilapia), 1630 nucleotides. RefSeq lists it as uncharacterized. The transcript is spliced from 2 exons. Lineage: Eukaryota; Metazoa; Chordata; Actinopteri; Cichliformes; Cichlidae. The record is from RefSeq and is a predicted model, not a curated record.